Orcinus orca (killer whale) is the source of this 1301-nucleotide RNA transcript. It is a transcript of the gene named lupus La protein homolog, with no coding region annotated. Lineage: Eukaryota; Metazoa; Chordata; Mammalia; Artiodactyla; Delphinidae. The transcript has a single exon. The record is from RefSeq and is a predicted model, not a curated record.
GGGGAGAGGAGACGUUGCUGUCGCUGUUAGUGACCUGUGGCAUGUCUCUGUGGGACCGGGAACUUAAAGAUAGCCAGAAUGGCAGAAAAUGGUGAUAAUGAAAAGAUGGCUGCUCUGGAGGUCAAAAUCUGUCAUCAAAUCGAGUAUUAUUUUGGUGACUUCAAUUUGCCACGCGACAAAUUUUUAAAGGAACAGAUCAAACUGGAUGAAGCCUGGGUACCUUUGGAGAUAAUGAUAAAAUUUAAUAGGUUAAACUGACAACAGACUUUAAUGUAAUAGUAGAAGCAUUGAGCAAAUCAAAGGCGGAACUCAUGGAAAUAAGUGAAGAUAAAACUAAAAUUAGAAGAUCUCCAAGCAAACCCCUCCCUGAAGUGACUGAUGAGUAUAAAAAUGAUGUAAAAAACAGAUCUGUUUAUAUUAAAGGCUUCCCAGUUGAUGCAACCCUUGAUGACAUAAAAGAAUGGUUGGAAGAUAAAGGUCAGGUACUAAAUAUUCAGAUGAAAAGAACAUUGCACAAAGCAUUUAAGGGAUCAAUAUUUGCUGUAUUUGAUACCAUUGAAUCUGCUAAGUUUGUCGAGGCCCCUGGCCAGAAGUACAAAGACACAGACCUGCUAAUACUUUUCAAGGAAGAUUACUUUGCAAAAAAAAAAAUGAAGAAAGAAAGCAAAAUAAAAUAGAUGCUAAAUUAUGAGCUAAACAAGAGCAAGAAGAAAAACAAAAGUUAGCAGAAAAUGCUGAAAUGAAAUCUCUAGAAGAAAAGAUUAGCUGCUUGCUGAAAUUCUCGGGGGACUUAGAUGAUCAGACAUGUAGAGAAGAUUUGCAUAUCCUUUUCUCAAAUCAUGGUGAAAUAAAAUGGAUAGACUUUGUCAGAGGAGCCAAAGAGGGAAUAAUUCUGUUUAAAGAAAAAGCUAAGGAAACACUGGAUAAAGCAAAAGAUGCAAAUAAUGGUAACCUACAAUUAAGGAACAAAGAGGUCACCUGGAAAGUACUAGAAGGAGAUGUGGAAAAAGAAGCAUUGAAAAAAAUAAUAGAAGAUCAACAAGAAUCCCUAAACAAAUGGAAGUCAAAAGGUCGCAGAUUUAAAGGAAAAGGAAAGGGAAAUAAAGCUGCCCAGACUGGGUCUGCUAAAGGAAAAGUACAGUUUCAGGGCAAGAAAACUAAAUUUGAUAGUGAUGAUGAACAUGAUGAAAAUGGUGCAUCUAGACCAGUAAAAAGAGCAUAAGAGAAGAAACAGACAAAGAAGAACCUGCAUCAAAACAACAGAAAAUGGUGCUGGAGACCAAUAAUUUAGUAAACAUUUU